This 171-nucleotide small nuclear RNA is filed under the name Salvator merianae (Argentine black and white tegu). Its description in RNAcentral is "U2 spliceosomal RNA (ENSSMRG00000018173.1)". It matches the Rfam family "U2 spliceosomal RNA". Rfam says of the family: U2 is a small nuclear RNA (snRNA) component of the spliceosome (involved in pre-mRNA splicing). Complementary binding between U2 snRNA (in an area lying towards the 5' end but 3' to hairpin I) and the branchpoint sequence (BPS) of the intron results the bulging out of an unpaired adenosine, on the BPS, which initiates a nucleophilic attack at the intronic 5' splice site, thus starting the first of two transesterification reactions that mediate splicing. Lineage: Eukaryota; Metazoa; Chordata; Lepidosauria; Squamata; Teiidae. The record is from RNAcentral.
AUCUCUUCUCAACCUUUUGGCUAAGAUCAAAUGUAGUGUCUCUUCUUAUUAGUUUAAUAUCUGAUACCGCCUCUAUUUGAGGACUCCAUAUUAAAUGGAGUUUUGGAAUUGGAUUAAAAAAACAAUUAAAGAUAUUCAAACAAUUGCAUGUUCGGUUUGAUGCAAACAGCU